GUGGAUGUAGCUCAGUUGGCAGAGCAUCGGGUUGUGGUCCCGAGGGCCGCGGGUUCAAGUCCCGUCAUCCACC
Molecule: transfer RNA, 73 nt
Filed under: Planctomycetota bacterium
Lineage: Bacteria; Pseudomonadati; Planctomycetota
Description: Planctomycetes bacterium (anaerobic digester metagenome) tRNA-His
Rfam family: tRNA
About the family: Transfer RNA (tRNA) molecules are approximately 80 nucleotides in length. Their secondary structure includes four short double-helical elements and three loops (D, anti-codon, and T loops).
Source: RNAcentral